AAGCUACUACAGCUUACACAUGCAAGUCGAGGGGCAGCAUGGGCUUAGCUUGCUAAGCCCGAUGGCGACCGGCGCACGGGUGAGUAACACGUAUCCAACCUGCCGAUCACUCCGGUACAGCCUUUCGAAAGAAAGAUUAAUCCCGGAUGGCAUGGCGAUUCCGCAUGGUUUCUCCAUUAAAGGUUUUUUUCCGGUGAUCGAUGGGGAUGCGUUCCAUUAGGCAGUUGGCGGGGUAACGGCCCACCAAACCUACGAUGGAUAGGGGUUCUGAGAGGAAGGUCCCCCACAUUGGAACUGAAACACGGUCCAAACUCCUACGGGAGGCAGCAGUGAGGAAUAUUGGUCAAUGGGCGGAAGCCUGAACCAGCCAAGUAGCGUGAAGGAUGACUGCCCUAUGGGUUGUAAACUUCUUUUAUAAGGGAAUAAUUGCGGGUACGCGCACCUGUUUGCAUGUACCUUAUGAAUAAGGAUCGGCUAACUCCGUGCCAGCAGCCGCGGUAAU
This 502-nucleotide ribosomal RNA is filed under the name uncultured bacterium. Its description in RNAcentral is "bacterial SSU rRNA". It matches the Rfam family "Bacterial small subunit ribosomal RNA", at positions 39 to 524 of the family's 1533-position model. The record is from RNAcentral.